Molecule: long non-coding RNA, 431 nt
Organism: Salvia hispanica
Lineage: Eukaryota; Viridiplantae; Streptophyta; Magnoliopsida; Lamiales; Lamiaceae
Source: RefSeq, a predicted model, not a curated record
CAUGUUCCCUGAAAAUCUCUAACUAAAAAUCUCUUCUUCUUCUCAUAUAUUUCCCCACAACUUGACUUCAUCAUUCUUCCAAUCUGCCGUUAUUUAUCUUCUUCUCCAUCAAAAGUGAGGGAGAAAAGAGAAAAUUGUGAUAUGCAAAACCUGCAACCUGUGCAACUUUCCUUUCUCCCACAGGGUGAGCUGUGCACAUUGUUGGCGGUUGGAAUAAGAAGUGAGUGAGGAGUAAGCUUGUGAGAUUGAGCGGCGAUGGACGUGGAGGAUGUUGAGCAGAGUUGUUGGAAAAUUAUAUCUUGUUUGGUUGUUGGAUUUGUCGGGUCUUCAUACUCGGCAUUUUUCCAUGUCUUGACGCUUCCGCUAAAAUCCUAAAUUUCCUUUGGACUGUUUUAUCAUUGGGUCUUAUUAUUCAAAGUAAGUUUUGUUGA